Molecule: ribosomal RNA, 530 nt
Filed under: uncultured bacterium
Lineage: Bacteria
Description: bacterial SSU rRNA
Rfam family: Bacterial small subunit ribosomal RNA
Source: RNAcentral
AAUAGAUACCCGGGUAGUCCACGCCGUAAACGAUGUCGACUUGGAGGUUGUUCCCUUGAGGAGUGGCUUCCGGAGCUAACGCGUUAAGUCGACCGCCUGGGGAGUACGGCCGCAAGGUUAAAACUCAAAUGAAUUGACGGGGGCCCGCACAAGCGGUGGAGCAUGUGGUUUAAUUCGAUGCAACGCGAAGAACCUUACCUACUCUUGACAUCCAGAGAACUUUCCAGAGAUGGAUUGGUGCCUUCGGGAACUCUGAGACAGGUGCUGCAUGGCUGUCGUCAGCUCGUGUUGUGAAAUGUUGGGUUAAGUCCCGCAACGAGCGCAACCCUUAUCCUUUGUUGCCAGCGGUCCGCCGGGAACUCAAAGGAGACUGCCAGUGAUAAACUGGAGGAAGGUGGGGAUGACGUCAAGUCAUCAUGGCCCUUACGAGUAGGGCUACACACGUGCUACAAUGGCGCAUACAAAGAGAAGCGACCUCGCGAGAGCAAGCGGACCUCAUAAAGUGCGUCGUAGUCCGGAUUGGAGUCUGC